This is a long non-coding RNA of Rhinolophus ferrumequinum (greater horseshoe bat), 579 nucleotides long. RefSeq lists it as uncharacterized. Lineage: Eukaryota; Metazoa; Chordata; Mammalia; Chiroptera; Rhinolophidae. The transcript is spliced from 3 exons. The record is from RefSeq and is a predicted model, not a curated record.
GACCUCCGCCCACAACCAGCGGAUGUCCUCCUCUUGCCGCUCCAGGCGCGAAGCCACGGCCUCGGCCGCCAGGGCCUCGGCCGCCAUGGCGCCGGCCCCUGUCAACGACCAGCAGGGCACUGAGUGGCUCCUGGAUAUAAAGAAGAAUUACGAUCCUACCACGUCUCCUCAACGUUGUAACAAAAAGACAUUGAAUAAAAUGACAUUAUUGUCAUUUUACAGACUGCCAUACAUUCUGUUCAAAUCUGCUGAGAACCUAAAAACUGCUCCAAAAUAUAAAGCCUCUCUUAAAGAGAAAAAAAGAAAAAGAGAAAGAGGUGGCCUGAGAGACUGCAAACUACCACGAGAUGGCACCAUUUCCCUCAGAAGUUUCAAUGUGGGCCCUGAUUAACCGUAAUCACCGGUGCUGAAGGAAGUAGUGGGGAUUCUGUGUUUGUCCUCCAGGUCUCCAGGAGGCUCAGAGUGCCGCACGAUCUUGUCACAGCCCAGCCCCAGAACAAAGCCAUAGGAUCUUAUGAGCUGCAGAAGCAAAAGCAAGAGUUGGAGCUCAGCCCGGACCUCGCUCUGCCCUUGGGACAG